AACGCUGGCGGCGCGCUUAACACAUGCAAGUCGAGCGAGAACCGGAGCUUCGGCUCCGGGGACAGCGGCGAACGGGUGAGUAACACGUGGGUAAUCUGCCCUCGGUUCUGGGAUAGCCCGGGGAAACCCGGAUUAAUACCGGAUAGCCUCUCUGGCCUGCGGGCCGGCGAGAAAAGGUAGCUUCGGCCUCCGACUGAGGAUGAGCCCGCGGCGGAUUAGCUUGUUGGCGGGGUAACGGCCCACCAAGGCGA
RNAcentral lists this ribosomal RNA (251 nucleotides) under uncultured Actinomycetes bacterium. Its description in RNAcentral is "uncultured actinobacterium partial 16S ribosomal RNA". It matches the Rfam family "Bacterial small subunit ribosomal RNA", at positions 32 to 276 of the family's 1533-position model. Lineage: Bacteria; Bacillati; Actinomycetota; Actinomycetes. The record is from RNAcentral.